RNAcentral lists this ribosomal RNA (445 nucleotides) under uncultured bacterium. Its description in RNAcentral is "bacterial SSU rRNA". It matches the Rfam family "Bacterial small subunit ribosomal RNA", at positions 330 to 792 of the family's 1533-position model. The record is from RNAcentral.
UCCAGACUCCUACGGGAGGCAGCAGUGGGGAAUAUUGCACAAUGGGGGGAACCCUGAUGCAGCGACGCCGCGUGAGGGAAGAAGGUUUUCGGAUUGUAAACCUCUGUCCUCUGUGACGAUAAUGACGGUAGCAGAGGAGGAAGCCACGGCUAACUACGUGCCAGCAGCCGCGGUAAUACGUAGGGGGCAAGCGUUAUCCGGAUUUACUGGGUGUAAAGGGAGCGUGGACGGCAGCGCAAGUCUGAAGUGAAAUCCCAUGGCUUAACCAUGGAACUGCUUUGGAAACUGUGCAGCUGGAGUGCAGGAGAGGUAAGCGGAAUUCCUAGUGUAGCGGUGAAAUGCGUAGAUAUUAGGAGGAACACCAGUGGCGAAGGCGGCUUACUGGACUGUAACUGACGUUGAGGCUCGAAAGCGUGGGGAGCAAACAGGAUUAGAUACCCUGGUA